This 8993-nucleotide long non-coding RNA is filed under the name Citrus x clementina. RNAcentral describes it as "Citrus clementina (C. clementina) long non-coding RNA (CCLE_LNC001922)". Lineage: Eukaryota; Viridiplantae; Streptophyta; Magnoliopsida; Sapindales; Rutaceae. The record is from RNAcentral.
CCGACCCGGCUUCAUACCCGGCCACAACGCCCGGGUACAGUCCGGGUUCGGACCUGGCGGGUAUUUUUGCCACCUCUAGUUCAAAUUAAAGAAUAUUUAUAUACCUAUUAAAAAAAUUAAAGAAAAAAAUUUUAUCUAUGAAUGAUAGCUAAGUAAUUCACUUGGCAAAAUUUCUCAACAAGUAUAACAAACAUGAGGUUUGAGUGGAUAAAGUUUAAAUUAAUUUUUUAGUCUCUACCAUUUGUAGGAUUUGAAUUUUGGUGAUCAGUCAAAUAAAAUUAUUUGAAAACUAUUCAAUCAAGUUCUUGAGAACAAACACUCACAUAUAAAAUUAUUUUCAUUAACUUCUUCCAAGUUUUGACGUGUUAAUGAGAAAUAUUUCUGUCCAUAUGAUGAAUGAAAUUUACUUCAUAAAUUUAUAUAAAAUGUCACAAAUUUAAAUAACAUAAUGCAUACCUACUCUUAUAAACCAAAUAGCUACUUUAUAUGUCCUUAAAGAUUGAGUCGAAAGAUUAUCAAAUAGUUUUAUUUAAUUAUUCAAUUGACCUUAAAAACGAACUAGAGCCUUUUCACCGCUUGCAAGUUGCAAUAAGCCAAGAAAGCAAGAGAGCAAUCAAAAGCCAACUAGCAUCCCCAGCCAAAGAGUAUAUCAUUCAUGUCGUAUAUAGUAAGUGAAAGGGGUGGCCAUGUGCCCCACAACUUUCUCUCCCCAUUUUCCUCGUAAGUAUCUGAAGUUACAAAAUUUAUAUAAUAAGGUAAUUUUCUAAUACAAAAGCACCUGCGACGAAAGGCUAGGUUUAGCUGGUCAUAUCUGAGGAAUCUGUUAAUUGUGAUCAUUAAUCAUUAAGCAUAAAAAAUAACAUUCAUCAAUUCUGUACUUUUGUCAUUUAAUUUAAAUAAUACCACUUGGGCCAUUUCUCUGUUGUUUUAGAGGAGGCAAGACAAAAUAUUUCUCAGGUUCCUUCAACUUCUAGCUUCAAUCAGUGGAGAAGCUAACCACAUUUUUUUUUUCCAGGGGUUGAAUUUUUUUUUUAAAUUCAGUAUUUUUUAUUGUACAAGGAUAACUUUAGUAAUAAGAAAUUGAAGAUACACUUAAUAAAAGGAGCUAUAAUGAAUCUUAACUCUCAAAAUAUUUAUUCUAAACGUCAUUUGAGAUUACGCAUUUACUACCCAAAUGAUGAGCUCAGAUAAGUGAUGAUAAUUACAGAGGGAACAUAACUAAUUAAUAUAAAAAUUCUUAUAUAGGUUUCAGUAAAGGCAAUUUUAUAAUUAAAUAAACUUUUUUUUUCACCGGCUUCAUCCCUCUCCUUUGCGAAUAUCAAAUCUAUAAUUGUCAAAUGUGUUAUUUUUCUUUUAACUUAAAUUUUUUUAGAUAUAUUACUACUAUUCUAAUCAAGGGACUUUUUAAAGUUAAAAUCCAUUAUAUAGCAUAGCUUGAAAAUUGAGGCUUGAUUAAUAAAAGCAAGAUCCAUCUCUACAUUAUAAAUAUUUAUUUAUAUGAGUAAUGCAAGAGCCACAAUUUUAAGCACAAUUAUUUAUAAAGGUUAUUUUUACCCAGGAGACCCAUGUUUGGACAUUCAUCAUAUAGCUGACACUUGUUUAGAAAAUACUCCCACAAGUGACAAAAUGUUAAGCUUGACUAUUAACCCUAACAGUCCAUUGGUAAAAUAAGAACAAUUGAUACAAAUUAUUAAAUAAAGAAUAAAAUGUUUCUCAAACCCAAGCCAUGACAUAAACCCACCGCAAACAUCAUUUCAAAGCUUGAGAUUAAGCUCAACUGGCAUCUAUGGGAAAUAAAGAGAAGACAUGGAAUUAGAGGGAAAAUUUGGGUAUAUUCCCCCUAUAUAUUUCACAAGUAACCCACUUACCACCGACUACAAAAACCCUAUUGGCCCUUCAUUUAUCUUUUCAUCUUCCUCUUUUUCUUAUCUCCAGUUGAGAGAACAGAAAGAUUUUAUGUGAACUCACCCAAAAACUAAAAAAGGCAAGCAGUAUCCAAGAGUUUUGAAGAUCUAUUUGGGUAUGAGCUUCUUGUUUAUCAAAUCUAUUAUUGAUUUUUUUUUUUAUGAUAUUACAUGUGUUUCAUAAAUAUUUUCAAAGUAUUGGAGGGCCUUGGCUUAAGAUUUCUAAGUAUCCGACCCAAAAGACUAUCAUAUUGGGUGUAGUGGCCUAUCUUACAAAUUAACCCAAGUAUCCUCUUUUUACUAACUAAUGUGGAAUAUAACUCAACAAUCACAAGUAUCCCUCUUUUACUAGCCAAUGUAGGACACAAUUCAACAAUCACAAGUAUCUCCAUUUUACUAGCUAAUGUGGAAUAACUCAACAAUCCCCUCAUCGGACGAAACCAUUGUCAGAGCCCAGUCCUUUCGUGCAACGCCCUUGAGUUGUUCCACCACCACAUUUCGGAUACUAAGGUCUAACUCUGAUACCAAUUGUUGGGGGGUCUUUGCCUCAAGAUUUCUAAGUAUCCAACCCAAUAGACUAGCUUAUUAGAUAAAGUGACCUAUCCUACAUAUUAAUGCAAGUAUCUCCCUUUUACUAGCGAAUGUAGGACAUAACUUAACAAUAAGCAUCUUUUUUUUACUAGUCAAUGUGGGCAACACACGACAACCACUUGUUAGGGAAUUUUAAUCCCACCCAAAAUAUUGAAGGCAAAAAUAUCAUACAAAUAAUAAACAAAAAAUAGAUAGGGAAUAAAAUAAAUCACACAACAUAAGAAUUUAUGUGAAAAACUCAUAUAUUAGAGAAAAAUCACAAUUGCUGAGGAUGAUGAGAAAAAAAUCUACUAUGUAAAAAAUUAUUAUAGUCACUUUUGUAUUUUUCCUCACACCCAAAACUCCAACAACACUCAGUUCUCUCAAUAAACCUACUAUUUCUCUUACACUAGAAAUUGUCUACUUGCAUAGAACUGAUUGAUGUAUUAUACCAAAAAGUGAACCAAACCUCUCUAUAUAUACUAAUUAUUUUUGUAAGAGAAGUAUACUAGCUAUAUUCCUUUUUGAAUAAAUCAAGUUUCAAAUGAAAAAUUACUUAUUCCUUAAAUAUGAAUGCUACUAUAGAAGAAGAUAUUUUAGGAAAUUCUCAUUGAAAAAUAAGACAUAUUUCCCAACACAAAGUUUGUUGUAUUGUGAUUAUGGAGCAAGUUUUGUUCAUCUUAUUUUUAGAAUGUGUACCUUGAUAUUAUUGAACUUGGUUGACCAUCACCUGCAUAUUUUAAUAUUAAAGAGAUAUAUUUGAUGUUGUCAUUUGUAGCUUUGUUUUGUUAGUUGUUAAGUUGUGUUAACAUAAACUACAAUGCAUGUGAAAUGUAGCUAUGAAAUUGAAUUAUGUUAGAUGGUUUAUGGUUUAAUUAUAGCUCAGUUUUGUUAGUUGGUAACAUUUAUAUCAAAUUUUAUUAUGAAUUUUGAAUAUCAAUUGUAAUAGUAAAAGCAAUAUUCUCUAUGGUUAAAGGGGUUGAUGAUAAUGCACAUGUUUAUGUUCGAUUCAUUGGUAUUAAGUAUAAGCUUAAGGUUGUUGUUCUAGAUACAACGAGCGCUGUUUUUGUUAUCAAUAAAAUGAUAAGCAGGGUAUUGAGAAGGCACAUCAAAAUGUGAUGAGAAUUUACAAAUGACUAUUACUCAGCCUUUGGGAUGGUAAGCUAAUAUACAUAUGCAAUGAUGAUGACUUUUUCACACAAUUGUCUAUUAACAAUGACUAUGGUCUCUUUGAGGUACAUAAGCUUGAUAUGUGGUUUAGUCAAAAGAUCAUUGUUCUUUCCACUAGAAGCAAUCCACUCACUACAUAGUCAAUGAAAGUGGUUCAAACAUUGUGGUUUACAUGUAGCAUGUGCAAGAGCAACGCACCAACCAUGUGGGCAAACAUUAGCUGAUAUAAUAUGGUCAAUGUUUGGACAAAGUUGGAUUAGGGUGCAAAGAAUGAAGGUUUUGACUGGAAUGAGACAAAAACUACCAGGUAUCAGACAAAAAAGACCGAAUCAAUCACUAAUUACCAGAUAAAGAAGACUAAAAACGAAAGAGAAAUGGAAAUCUCCUGAUUUCCCAAAGGAAAUGUAAAUUAUUUGUUCUAUUACACUUAAAUAUUUAGGCUUAGGCUUAGUUGAAUGAAAUUUGGUAGAUUAAUAACUUUAUAUCUUAAAUUUGAUGCAGUGAUCAACUUGAAUGUAAUUAUAUUAUUGGUAGCAAAGUAGAUAGUAUAUAGUGGAAGUAAUUAUAUGUUAAACUUCUUUCACAAUGCCAUAUACAACUAGGAAUGAUAGAGAUUCACAAGCUAUUCAAAUUACUUUUUUGAUUGAAUCCCAAGUAUGUUAAAUUAUUAAUAAUUAAACAUUAUCUAUAUUUGAUUACUUAUUAGGUAAAUGUGGCAUUUUGAAAGUGAUUGGAUUUAGAAUUAGAUGGAUACAUGAAAAAUAGGCAAAUAUUUUUGUUAUAUUUUGUUCCUUAGGGGAUUAAGUACUUUGUUCCAACCACUGUGUGAUAAAGCCUUUAUGGACAAUUAUCUAUAAGCUCUGUUUGCCAUUUUAUUUGUGCAAUGUAUGUACUGCACUUUAGCUUUUAAAACUAUUUCUUUUCCAUUUAUGAUGUUGCCAUUUCACAAGUAUAUAGUUACAUUAUAACCUUAAGCCUUAAAGAAAAUGAUACACAUGUAGACAAAUAGAAAAAGGUGAUGUAGUUCAAACAUAUUUGGACACUCCUUAUUUGUUUCCAUUACGGUCAGUCUCUAUAAAAUCUUAUCACCAAUCCAUUGAUUCAUGUUGAACCUUAGCAGACUAACAGACUACUUUCCAUUCUUCUUAUUCUCUCUAAAAUUUUAUUAUUAAUUUUUUUAAUUCUUGUAGGACCUUCAUCUUGUUCCCGUUCUAACUAGUCUCCUCUUUGCAUUGUAUGGUGUCCACUAUUAAAAAAAGUCAAAUUUUUUAGUUAGAGUGCCAUACGUGUAGUGGCAAUGCAACAUUAAAGCUAGCUUGGCUUUUCAAAAGUCACAAAUCGAUUUUGAUAUUUGUCAUUUUUAAUUUGAUUUAUCAUGUAGGCCCCUAAUAAAAUUUAAAAAUAACUAAAAUAUUCGAUAUUUGUUUUUACGCCUGUAACACACAAAGAAAUAUUGUUAUUUUGAAAUCUUUAGGGCAUUAACUCUUUUCACGUAAAAGAACAAAUCUUAUUCAAUUUUAUCUAAUUGAUUUUUCUUCAUUGAAUCUUAUAGCACUUGAAUUUCAACAUGAUGUUUAUAUUAUAAAUGUGGGUUCUGAUGACAAAUUUCAGGAUUAAAAAGGAUUGGUGAGUUAGCAAGAAAAAUAGUUGAUACUAAAAAGGAUAAAUUAUUAUUUAUUAAUUUAUCUAUUUGUGACAUUAGUAUUGUUUUUAACAAAGGACAUUUUCAACUAUGAAUUUUGUGAAAAAUCGUCAACGAAAUCGGAUGGGAGAAACCAAUUGUAUACAAAGAAAAAUAUAUAUAUUUUGUAAUUUUGAUGGUAAGGUUAUUUUUAAAUAUUUUUAACAUAUGAAAACACGUCGAGAACAAUUAUAAAUGUACUGAAUUGAAUAUAUUAAUGAAUUUUUACUUUAUUUUUUGAUCAUUUUUAAAUUACUAUUAUUAUUUAAACUUAACCUCUAUUAGAUUGAAUUCUUGGCACUGCCAUUGUAUAGUUGUAAUUUAAACUUUUCAGCUUCGCUAUUGAUUCUAAUGAUUUUAUUAAUGGCCUUUAAGCCACAUAAGCAUAUUUCGUUGGGAAAUUAUAACACCUCUCCAUUCGCUUCAUCAUUGUUUGAGGUGAGUUUAAUGUUACUUGAAUAACUUGAGGUCGAUGGCAUUGUUGAAUGCUGUACUUUGUAGAUGUGUGUUUGUGUUUAAAAUGGUUGUUGUGGGAUCAUGCUAUGUUUGUAAUGUUUUGAGGUUUAGUUCUAGAAUAGGGAGUUUGUCAAUUUAUAAAUGCAUUUGAAAUUUGUCUCCAACGGUCAAAAUAUCAAUUUUUUUUUUUUUGACAUAAUGGUCUUUUCAUGGCUGGUAAACUUGCAAAUAUUUGGACAACUAAGGACGAUUUUCUAGUAUUAUUCAACUGUUUGGACAAAAUGGUCUUUUUAAUGUGUGGUAUUCUUGUAAAUAAUAAGUAGCCAAGGGCAUAUUUAUCAUCACAAUAUUAAAGCCAAGUUAGGGGAACAGAAACAUUAUGUCAAAUCGAAAAAGUUGAUUCCAUUAAAGUCAAUAGUCAAACAUAGUAUUUUGUCGCAUGUGUGAGUAUUCUCUAAACAACUAUCACCUGUGUGAUGAAUGUGCGAACAUUUAUUACCUCAAUAAAAUUAACUGAUUUUAUAGAAAUUAAUGUGGUAUAAUAAAGUAUUGGUUCAAUGAAAACAUAAAAUAAUAAAAUUAAAUUAUGUGAAUUUUGAUCUUUUAGUAUUUUAUCUAGCUAAUACUGUUAUGUAAUUCAAAUUGUCAAAGAAUUUGUAUUUUUUAACAUUAAUUUGUUUAUAAAGAAAGAAUGACUCCCAACUACUGUCUAAAUAAUAGAGAAAAGAGUGUUUUAUUUUUUCCCUCAAAUUAAAAAUUAAAAAAUUAAAAUUAAAAGUCUGGUCCCUCAUCUAUGGUUGAUUAUCAAAACGUGGCCGUGGCUAUAACCAUAAAGAUUGAUAUGUACAGUCGGUGUUCCCCAUAAUUUAAAAUAAAAAUAAAAUUAAUAGCAAAAAGGGAGCAUGCGUCAAGCACGUGAGAGAGCUGCGUUGUCAUCUCCAGCUUGUCCCAAAUGCGCCAAUGAGACAUUGUCACUGAUAAAAUAUUUAAAACAAAAAACAAUUACGAAAAUUAUUAAUUCAACAUCUUUCAUAUGCAUAUACAUGCCAAUGGAAAAAGAUUCUCUUCUAAUUUGAGUUCUUAUAAAUUUUUAAAGAUCUUAUAUUAUGUAUUUUUAAAUAUUAGUGUAUGGAUAUGACUUAAUUAUUUUAUUAUUUUAUUUUAUUAAUAAUCAAUCACCAUAUAUAUAUUUAUUUAAGAAGAGAUCAGAUUAAGAGAAAAUCUUAAUCCCAUACGAAGAACUUUUUUUCCCUCCCCAAAAAGAAAAUUCCGGUGCUUGUAAUGUAUACCUCUCAUUUAUUAGAUUUUUUUUAUCAUAUCUGUAUAUAUUUUAACGUAAUUAAUUGACAAAGACACGUAGUAAAAAUUCAACGAGCUAUAGUGUAUAAAAUGAAAGUACGCAAGACCUUUUUUUUCCCCUUUUUUUAAACCCAAAUCAGCAAUAAUGUUGGCUCCGAUACAAAAUUUUUGAUGCAAUUGAUGUGACAUUUCGAAUAACGUUAGAUAGAAUUUUUGUAUAAGUCUCACGUUCACAUGUGUCUGUUAACAUCUCUCUUAAACACUAACCAACAUAUUUAAUAAAUUAACUUGGACUACUACAACAUCACAGGUAAAAGCAAUCCCACUUUUGCUAGUAGAGAAUGAGAGAUGGAGAUCUUUUUUGGGUUUUAGAUAUGGAGCAAAGUGAAAUCCAUUUUUAUUGGGAUACAUGCGUGUGUAUAGACUAUAGAGUGAUCGCCACACCCACGACCCACCAUAGAAAAAAGAAAAUAAAAAGAUGCAAAAACAAACAAUGAAUUGAUGGGCAACACUUUCUUCUUAAAGCAUGAAAGGGAGCUGCCAUCGCUAUUUUAAUAAACCAAGUGCUGGGACAUAAGUGCAUGUGGAAAUGGUCCUUUUGGGUUAUUGGGUCGAAUCUCACUCACUCACUUAAGGCUAAGGGGUGUUCUCGAUUUAUGACUAAAAUAUUGGAAAUUAAAAUGUAAUUUGAUUUUUUUUUAAAAAAAAAAUGAAAUGAGAUAUCUGAACAUAAAACAACGAUUGCAGGUUUGAAACUAAUAUAGGAAUUAAUUUUGAAUUACCGCCCUCAUAAAAUGAUAAUUUUUUAAAUUCCUCUAAAUUAAUUUAAAUGUCAACUUAUCCCCAUUUUUGAAAAGAAGAUAAAAUAAUUUUCAUUAAUCCGUCCUCAUUUUUUUUUCUUAUCUUUUAAACAAGAAUAGAAGUAAGUUGAGUUCUUACCAUAGUUUGGGAGUAUUUUUAAGAUUAUCAUUUUACGAGUGGAAUUUACGGCACUGUAAAUUGAAAGGUAAAAAACUCAACUCAUCCUAAAAAGUUUAAAAAGGUGUUAAACUGCUGAGACAACCUAAUGAUACUUUGCCACGUGAAAGAAUAACGGAUCCUAUUGUAAGACCUACUAAUUUUUUACAUUAAGUUUAGUAGAUUCCACUAUUAGUCUCAUAAUAAUUGAGCUGGUGGGACUGCCCACACCAAUUCUUCUCCAACAAUACUAAACUCUACUAAUUAUAACAUUUGCGUCCCUUGAUCUAUAUCCUAAAUAGGCCCCUAAACUUAGCUUUUGUGCAAUUCUGAUUUUUAUCUUUACUAUUGAGUUUUUUACGGGACAUAUUAGAUCUUUCCUUAUUUUUUUAAAGAUAAAAAUAACAAAUUCUAUUAGAAGGGAAAAGUUGGUCAAACUAUAUCAAAGGUCACAACAAGCUCAAAUACACUUAUGACAAUGUCUUAGACUAAGUCUCAAUUAGGGCAAUCCCUAAAAUCAUACACAUUGACUCCAUUCACUAUGAAUUCCUUAAAAUUGAAAGAAAACAAACUCUGCACACUAAAAGCCAAUAAAGAAUUAGAGAAAUUUUUUGGGUCUGGCCUAGUCAACCCACACAAAUUAUUGUAUAGGUGAAAGGCCACUUUCAAAUCGAUAAAAGAAAAUCCCAAAGUAUAUAUUAAUACAACACAAUACUAUUAAUUUAUUACAAGAUAAAAUAUAUUGCAUUGAAAAUUAUAUAUAUAUUUUAUUUUUUUUUAAUUUCUCUAUAACUUUAUAUAUAAAACCUAUACGAUGAGUGCCUAUGACUAGGGGUGGGCAUGGGUUGGUUUGGGUUGGAUUUUAAGUCAACCCAAACUAAACCAUAAAAAUUUGGAUCCAACCCAAAUAUUUUUAACCCAAAUCAAACCAAACCAUUUGGGUUUGGUUUGAAUUU